Small nucleolar RNA from Gossypium raimondii (Peruvian cotton), 107 nucleotides. It matches the Rfam family "Plant small nucleolar RNA R71". Rfam says of the family: R71 is a member of the C/D box family of snoRNAs containing the C (UGAUGA) and D (CUGA) box motifs. Multiple nearly identical copies of this snoRNA have been identified in Arabidopsis, and it is thought to function as a 2'-O-ribose methylation guide for 18S ribosomal RNA. NCBI's taxonomy places the organism in Eukaryota, Viridiplantae, Streptophyta, Magnoliopsida, Malvales, Malvaceae. The record is from Rfam.
AUUCCGUGAUGAUGGUACUUCCAUAACAAUUCUUUAUACCUUUCCCAUGCCUUAUUCAAGGAUUCAUCAUCCAUUUCUUGGAAAGCAGUGAUCUUGUUCCUCAACUU